GUCCACGCCGUAAACGAUGAAUGCUAGUCGUCGCGGGUAUUGACCCCUGCGGCAACGAAGUUAACACGCUAAGCAUUCCGCCUGGGGAGUACGGCCGCAAGGCUAAAACUCAAAGGAAUUGACGGGGGCCCGCACAAGCGGUGGAGCAUGUGGUUCAAUUCGACGCAACGCGCAGAACCUUACCUGGGUUAAAUCCGCCGGAACCUCGCAGAGAUGUGGGGGUGCUCGCAAGAGAAUCGGUGAGAAGGUGCUGCAUGGCUGUCGU
RNAcentral lists this ribosomal RNA (265 nucleotides) under uncultured bacterium. RNAcentral's name for it is "partial 16S ribosomal RNA". It matches the Rfam family "Bacterial small subunit ribosomal RNA", at positions 793 to 1055 of the family's 1533-position model. The record is from RNAcentral.